AUCAUCAUCAUCAUCAUCAUCAAGGUGUCCGUGGCGCAGACAAAGCUCAACAGUCUGCCUACGCAGACAUCAGCGGUCAGAGAAGUGCAAGUCUACUCCAGAAAUCGAUCAGAGUGCGUCACCUCAGUGUGUGUAAGACUAACUGGCGCACACACACCUCUUCCCUGCUGCUUUCGUUCUUUGACUUCUUCUGUCCAACCCUGGACCACAUGGAGCUGGGAGAACUGGGCAGUGGCUGUGAAGAUGAGACCUGUGACCUGGCAUCCAGCUUCACAGAGGACUGCAUCAACCAAGAGUGCCCUGUAUUUGGAAUGAUUGAGUUAGUGUGUGUGACUGUCAUCUACAUUCCUCUGAUGCUCUUUGGCCUUGUUGGAAAUAUACUAACCAUCCUGGUGGUUUGGCUCCGUCCACAAAUGAGAAGCUCUACCUACCUGUACCUGAGCAGCAUGGCUGUUAGCGAUCUGCUGAUACUCCUGCUGUUGCCUCUGGAUCUAUAUAAGCUCUGGAGGCCCAGUCCAUGGCCCCUGGGAGACCUUGCCUGUAAGCUCUCAAUGUUCCUCUCGGAGUGUUGCACCUUCUGCACCAUCCUCCACAUUACCUUCCUCUCCCUUGAGAGGUACCUGGCAGUGUGCUGGCCCAUCACAGCCAAGACCUUGGUGACGCGGCGUAGAACCAGGGUUUUAAUCGGCUGCCUCUGGCUUGGUGCGGCCAUCAGUGCCGCUCCAGUGCUGGUCAUGGUUGGAGUGGAGGAAGUUGGGGGUACGGAAGGGAUUAGUGGAUGGAGGGAGGACAAGAGCUUGAUAAGGGAAGUAGAACAGGAAAGAGUUCCUGUAGGUGAAGCCACACGUGGAAGUGCACAGGUAGCUUUAAUGGAUGCAGAAAUAGAGGUAAUAAAGUGGCAUGUAAAUGAAACAAAGGUUGGAGACCUUAGUAACAAAGGGGAGCAAGUAGGAGAAAUACUAGAUGAGACAAGACAAGAAAAUGACAAAGACACAAGCAAGGAAAAACAAGAUGUUGACUAUAGAGAUGAAGGACAAACAAACAAGCAAAACAAAAUGAAAGAGGACGAGGGAGGAGGACGGGAAAGCCACGAAGAAGUUGACAGGAGAGAGUGUCGCUGCUCGGACUACGCCGCUACUUCUGGCUUGUUGUCGGCCAUGACCAUUCUCUCCAACAUGUACUUCCUCAUCCCUUUCUGCAUCCUGGGACUGGUCUACAGCUUGAUUGGAAGGACACUGUGGCUCCGUCCACAAAGCAGCCGCAAAGAUCAGAGUCAUCGAAACACUGUCAAGAUGCUGGAGCAUUAUACAGAAACCUCCAUCACAACCAGGCUCAGGGUGGAUGGCCAUCAGCCGGCUCCACAGAAGAGGAACACAGUAGCUCCACUUCACUGACACCAACCACAAGUAGAGCAGCGCUCUGAGAACCAAGCGAAGACCUGGAGCUAGAAGAUCUUUGAGGGCAUGUUGGUUUGAUCAUUAACUGAGUGAUCGUCCUGGCCUUCGUCCUCUGCUGGCUGCCCUACCACGUUGGUCGGACCAUAUUCUCCUUCUCUUUCACUGCUUACACGCAGGAAGCUCACACACACACAAACUCACACCCAGACACUAAUGUGUACCCUGACAGGACAGACAGAGAUAUGAACGGACACGCUAUGAUCAAGACCGAGAAGCUGACUGCACACAAUCUCAUAGAUGACUGUCAAACAUGUGCAACGACCAAAGUCAGACACAACACGGUGGAUAAUCUAGACACACACUUAACAGACACAGAGACUACUAGCGCACACAGGCCUUACACCACACGCACAUAUGCUACACCUACUGCUAUACACAUGGAUAGCACACACAAUGACACGUCGCACACACACCCUGACAAAAAGGCUUUAUUUUACUACUAUCUGUCUCAGUAUUUCAACCUGGUGUCCUCCGUCCUCUUCUACCUCAGUGCUGCUGUCAACCCACUGCUCUACAACCUGAUGUCAGCUCGAUACAGACACGCUGUGCACAGCCUCAUGCACAAACACUCUCUAACACAGUCACAUCGGCUGCGCACCACCAUCACGGCACGGCACUCCACCACCACUGUGUGACACUGUGUGUUGACUGACUGCUCACAGAGUGUUUUCUGUCUUCUUUCAAACAGUGGACACGUUUUUAUUUAUGUAGGGUUAUGGUUAUAUAUUAUAUAUUAAAACUUACUUAGUAACAUGAAGAAUCCUCACCUGGACACUAGAACUAGAAUAAAUGUGUUCUCACCUGUUGUUAAUGCUAUAUGAAAUCAAAAUAAAAAAGCAACUUUGUCAGACAUUAAACACAGAACAUGCUGUGAACAGCAUUUAUAGCAUAAUAAUAAAGAAAAAAAAACACAGAUCAUCAUCUAAAAUUUGUUAUAUAAUACAGAACCAGUGUCACACCUGGAGGAUGUGUUAAUUCUAAAUGUGGUACUUUCCACAAUUUUUGGGGGGGUAUAAAGUAAACACACACGCACGCACACACACACAGAACAGGGCUACCGUUCUGAUUGAUGUAGUUUCAUAGACGCUGAGAGGUUUUGCUGUAACAUACAUUACAUUACGUGUGCUGCCGUGUCAGAUCCAGAUAUAAAUGUCAUGGUGGAGGUUUUAUCACCGCUGCAAAGAGGCGUGUAGGUCUCACUGUCUGCCAGCAGGAAACACUCCUGAAUGGAUUUUCUGAGGUGUGGUGAACACCUUGCCCUCAGGCCACAGGACAAUUGAUUUGAUUGUGUUGGUAACCCAGGCAACUUUUAUUAUGUGAGCAAAUGUUGUUUUUUUUUAUAAGUAAAAUAUGUAUAUAUAAAAUAGAUGAUGACGAGUGUUUUAAAUAAAUAUUAUAGUUUGUAUAUUUGAACUGUUUAUCAAUAAAAAUCCCUCUUGAUAUGAGGGAUAUGAGAAUAUUCAUUAUUUUCUUUAGCGUAAGACUAUAGAUUUUUUAAUUAUGUUAAAAUACUGUAUGCUUUGUUUUUUAUGUAAUGUUAAGUUAUAUAAAGUGUUUGACAUAAGAACUGUCAACAACAGUAGUGGGAUUAAUAUCACUUUUUAUGUUAAAUACAAAAUGCUUUCUAUGACUGUGGGUGAGUACUUUAAUGCCUUGCUUUAGGGACCAGCUCAGCUGUAAACCAAUUGGCCAAAUUUGUUGUUGCUAAUGAUUGCUGAUGAUUUUUCACUGUCAGAAAUGCAAAGCAUUAUUUUUAAUAAAGACUCCGAGCUGUUAUUUCACAGAGCUCUGCACCCACUUUCCUACAGUCAUUGGUUUUUAGAGCACUUCUUUUCUGCAUCACAUGAGCUGAACCUUGGUUUUGAACAUGUGACCUAAUCACGAUCUGAUGUCCUUCUGAUUCUGUUUUUUGUUUGAUUACAUCACGGUUGGUAAAACCCCUUCCUGUCUAUCUGCAAAAUCAAGCAAAGCUUAUAUCAUUCUGAUAUAUAUCACAUCAUCAUCUAAACCUUGUCGGCUAACUUGCUGUGUUAAUGCUACUUUUCGUAUUUGAACAGCUUGUUUGCUGUGUUUUGUGUCUAGACUUUGCACACAGUGACUGAAGCUCUGCUUGUACUUGACUGUUCAUUUUCGCUGUGUUGUUUUGUUUCUACACCUGUUUCUUUUACAGCAACUGUUAAAUGCUGAGAUGGGAACAAACUGCAGCAGUUCUCCAAAGACCGUAGACUGUCUUUAUGAGAUCAUGCAAAGACAUAGCAAAUUAAGCCAAGAGAUUACAUGUGUUCAGAUUCAGUCAACAAAUGAGGUUUCCUUAUAUAUGUUACCAUGCUGACAGGUGCUCUUGGUAGAAAGUAGUAUUGUUGGCUCAAUGUGCAAACCUUUGUUACUUAUAUUUGCAUUUGUCCAUCUGUUGGUUUUUGUCUCAAGUGAA
Molecule: RNA transcript, 3888 nt
Organism: Betta splendens (Siamese fighting fish)
Lineage: Eukaryota; Metazoa; Chordata; Actinopteri; Anabantiformes; Osphronemidae
Exons: 6
Source: RefSeq, a predicted model, not a curated record